Molecule: unclassified non-coding RNA, 183 nt
Filed under: uncultured Clavulinaceae
Lineage: Eukaryota; Fungi; Basidiomycota; Agaricomycetes; Cantharellales; Hydnaceae
Description: sequence contains ITS1
Source: RNAcentral
AUGAAUUGUAAUCGGAGUUGAUGCUGGCAGCUUGGCUGCAUGUGCUCGCUCCUAACAAUCUUCAUCCAAACACCUGUGCACAUUUAGAGAGGGUCUCCGAGUUUUCCUUGGAGUCCCUUCCUCUCAUUAUACACUUUAUUUUAAUAUUGAACGUGAUUGUGCCGUGAGGCCUUAAUAUUAAUA